This is a small nuclear RNA of Otolemur garnettii (small-eared galago), 107 nucleotides long. NCBI's taxonomy places the organism in Eukaryota, Metazoa, Chordata, Mammalia, Primates, Galagidae. The record is from Ensembl.
AUGCUCAUGUCAGCAGCACAUACACUAAAACUGGAUUGAUACAGAGAUUCUUAGCAUGGCCCCUGCCCAAGGAUGACAAGCAAAUUCGUGAUUUAGCUGAAGGAAUG